RNAcentral lists this ribosomal RNA (434 nucleotides) under uncultured bacterium. RNAcentral's name for it is "partial 16S ribosomal RNA". It matches the Rfam family "Bacterial small subunit ribosomal RNA", at positions 29 to 507 of the family's 1533-position model. The record is from RNAcentral.
AGCGAACGCUGGCGGCAGGCCUAACACAUGCAAGUCGAACGAACCUUUCGGGGUUAGUGGCGGACGGGUGAGUAACACGUGGGAACGUGCCUUUAGGUUCGGAAUAACUCAGGGAAACUUGUGCUAAUACCGAAUGUGCCCUUCGGGGGAAAGAUUUAUCGCCUUUAGAGCGGCCCGCGUCUGAUUAGCUAGUUGGUUGAGGUAAUGGCUCACCAAGGCGACGAUCAGUAGCUGGUCUGAGAGGAUGAUCAGCCACAUUGGGACUGAGACACGGCCCAAACUCCUACGGGAGGCAGCAGUGGGGAAUCUUGCGCAAUGGGCGAAAGCCUGACGCAGCCAUGCCGCGUGAAUGAUGAAGGUCUUAGGAUUGUAAAAUUCUUUCACCGGGGACGAUAAUGACGGUACCCGGAGAAGAAGCCCUGGCUAACUUCGUG